UCGGGAAUAUUGGACAAUGGAGGGAACUCUGAUCCAGUGACGCCGCGUGAAGGAAGAAGGUCUUCGGAUUGUAAACUUAUUUCGUCAGGGAAGAAAAAAAUGACAUUACCUGAAGAAGAAGCCCCGGCUAACUACGUGCCAGCAGCCGCGGUAAUACGUAGGGGGCAAGCGUUAUCCGGAUUUAUUGGGUGUAAAGGGCGCGUAGACGGAGUUGUAAGUCAGAUGUGAAAGGUUGGGGCUCAACCCCAAGAGUGCAUCUGAAACUAUAACCCUUGAGUGCAGGAGAGGAAAGUGGAAUUCCUAGUGUAGAGGUAAAAUUCGUAGAUAUUAGGAGGAACACCAGUGGCGAAGGCGGCUUUCUGGACUGUAACUGACGUUGAGGCGCGAAAGCGUGGGGAGCAAACAGG
Molecule: ribosomal RNA, 407 nt
Filed under: uncultured bacterium
Lineage: Bacteria
Description: bacterial SSU rRNA
Rfam family: Bacterial small subunit ribosomal RNA
Source: RNAcentral